UCCUCGCUUUGAGCCAAUCUCUUGAGCCUUAUGUGUCUGACACAUUAGUUAAGCAUCUCUUAUUGUUUUGACAUUGGCACACCUGAUAAGCAAACUAUUAGAACAAUAGAAACAAAAUUGCUUCUAGACUACACCAAAGACUGGUGGAAUCAAAGCAUAUAUACCCACCAAAAAAGUAUACAUUAUGCGUAAGAACCCAUAGAAGAGCAGCCGCUUUGUUAAACUAGUAGAAAACACAUAGAAUUAACUUUCAUUUCACUUGGAACUGUUUCAUAACCCGAUGGACACUAAAUCAUUUGUAUCCAGAUUCUCUCUACUUGUAAUCCCGAUGGACACUAAAUCAUUUAUAUCCACAUGUUACAAAUUGAUCAUGUGUAUUACAAUCUUUUUAGUGUAUUGUAAUAUUCUUUAAAUCAAGCUUUGUCCCUAAAUCAAUCAAAAAAGAUAUGAAUGUCUACGAUUCAAGCUCAAUUCCUAGAAAUUGAUUCAACAUUUUAGCUGGAUGAACCAUUGAUUGCUUGGAGCGAUUUGCUAACAGCUUCUGUCUUUUGAAAGACAUGGUAACAGCUUCUGUCUUUUGAAAUACAGGAAAUCGAAAGACAAUAUCAGAAGCCUCUAAUAUGGAACUCUUUUUCUCAAAUAUCUGUUACCAAGUCUUUUUCUCAAAUAUGGAACUCUUUUUUCUCAAAUAACUGUUUUAAGAAGCUGUUACCAAGUCUUAAAACAAAAACAGAAAUUAAAUUGAUACACUCGAAAACCACACAAGAGGGCUUCUUUUAAACAUUACAUCAGACUCAGUCUUUGUUUUAUUGGAACUUACCAAAAGCACUCAAAAGCAUGAGCACCAUCGGCUAGGAGUCUUUAGAUUCCCCUUUUAGCACAAUCUCUAGGAAUUACGAUUUGAUACACCUCUUACUUGGCCUCGACCACCAUAUCCAUAGUCGCCGCCGCCGCCACCACCACGAGGUCCACUAUAACCGCCACAUGAAUGAACGUUACCGCAGAAAGCUUCUCUCAUUUGCCAAAACUCUAGCAUUUUCAUCACCCGUAUUCAUCUCAAUAAAGUUCGUCCAUGCAAAAUUCUUACGUCCAUUUAAUUAUGCUUACAUGGACAUGCUUCUUUUAAUGGAUUCUUAUAAACAAAUUUCCAAUUUCAACAAAGCUAUUUACAAUGGGCGUGAAAUCUUGCAACCUGCGAGAGUGAAAGAGGAGAUCAGAGCAAUAAUUAAGGAAAUACAAUCUCACAACAUCCAUUUAGAAGAAUUUCUCUCCAGAUUCAUACAAUAAACAUACAUAUAGCUCAAUUUCUCUCCAGAUUCAUCAAUUCCACUGCAGAUUUUAGAGAUUUAAAGUGAACUGAUCCAAAUAUUUCCAGAUUCAAAGGAAGAAAAAGAGAGAUUGAAGAAUCUAGAUGACAACCCCAGAAAUCCAGAUUUGAGGAAUCCAGAUGACAAUGUCGGAACCAGAAAAAGAGCGCUCGAGGAAUUCUUUGGAAACCAAGAAUCCUAGGGAAAUAAAACAACAUUCUCGCUCAAUGACAAAAGAGAGAUUACUGUUUUUGAACCCUUAAACUAAUGCCAAAAUGAUCUCCUCUUCUUCUCUUUAGCUGCUUAUAGAGACCGGGCGCUUGGUAAUGAGUUUCACUGCAUUGGUAAUGAGUUUCAAAUAUUAUUUUUAACAUUACAAGUAGAGAGAUCUAGGAUAUAAAUGAUUUACUAUCCAUCGGGAUUGUACUAUAUGGUUACGAAACAGCAUCAAAUGAUUUAGCGUCCACGCAAACAUGAACAUGUGGAUAUCCCAUCCUCUUAUAAACACUUUUGCAGUUUUUCGGUGUAUCAUUUCAAUAGUUUAAAAUGAUUUAAUGUCCAUAGGGAUUGUACUAUGUGGUUAUGAAUCAGUUCCAAAUGAUUUUGUAUCUUUGUAAUUUAGCUUUUCGUGUGACUCAGCUAAUCAAUCCUUCUUUCGUGCGUUGUAUCAAAACUUCAAGCAGCUUAGGAUCCAAAAACUUCAAGCAGCUUAGGAUAGACACUUGGUUUACAGUGUUGCAACAAAGCUCUGCCUAGGUUCUACUCUACCUGUCACCUAGAUUACAUAGCAAAACAUAACCAGCCAUAUCAAAGGUUAAUACUUUCAACUAAAAAACUACAGUUCGAAGAUAAUCCAGUAGAUACCAUAAGAGAGAUUCAGGUGAGAUGAUUUGCAACUGAUUUAUGUAUAUACCAUAAGAGAGAUGCAGAGUCAACACAAACAAGCUACACAAAGUAGUAACAAUAAAGAGUUAUAAGCGUUUAAGUAUAGCAAACAAACAAAACAGGAGAUAGCAAUACUGUAGGACAACUAGUUAGCAACUAAAAGGAGUAAAAACUUUUAAAGAUCAAGACCUUGAUAUCCUCACAAAGUCACAAACAUUCACAAAUUCGAAAUCCAAAUUUUGAGGUUUCAAGGGAAGAGAUAACUCGCGUAAUUGUAGACUUAGAAAUCAUCAAUGAAAAACGUGACACUUCCCAAAUCAAAGGUCAAAGCUUCAUCUAACCGAUGAACAAUCGCCUCAAAUUCCAAAAUCCAUCUCAAAUACAUAAAAAUAAGGUGAAGAUCAACAGGGUAUCGUCUUCCUUUUUUUUGUUUUAUUAUAGCCACAGUUUUACUUGCGUUGAAUAAUUCCGUUUAUCUAAAAGACAAGAAAUCAAACGACAACAUCAAUUACAUAUCCACUGCAUAUGCCAUGGAAUCAUCGAUUACAUAUCCUUCGGUUUGUUGCAUUUUUCCCAAUCGAACUUCAAGCAAAAACAAAAUCGAAACAAUCAAAUGUUGUAUGGGAAAGGAAUAAGAUCUGGAAAAACAAUGAAGCAAGAGAAUUACUUUUUAGGGUUGAGAAACAUAAUAGCUGGUUGACUUUUUAGCUGUGGCACAGAAGAAAUUGAAGAGACAACCCAUGGCUUCGAUGAAAUCGGAAGAGAGAAAAAGGAACAGCAAUGGAAGAAGCUACUGAGAUUUUCCGAGAAAGAUAGGAAAAGUCGAGAGUGAAAGAAUUGGUGGGUAUGAGUCAAUUGUUUUCAAAUUUGAAAUUAUCUGAUGGAAAUCACGGUAAUGAGAUAAGUCCAGAAAUGG
This 3108-nucleotide long non-coding RNA is filed under the name Eutrema salsugineum. Its description in RNAcentral is "long non-coding RNA (ESAL_LNC000687)". The record is from RNAcentral. Lineage: Eukaryota; Viridiplantae; Streptophyta; Magnoliopsida; Brassicales; Brassicaceae.